RNAcentral lists this non-coding RNA (31 nucleotides) under Rattus norvegicus (Norway rat). The record is from RNAcentral. Lineage: Eukaryota; Metazoa; Chordata; Mammalia; Rodentia; Muridae.
UGUACUGAUCUCUCGAAGAGUUCGUCAGGCA